CUCAGAUGAACAUUCCUCAGAUGUCUCUCACACGCGUGCACUCAGAUGAACAUUCCUCAGACGUCUCUCACACGCGCACACUCAGGUGAACGUUCCUCAGACGUCUCUCACACGCGCGCACUCAGAUGAACGUUCCUCAGACGUCUCACACGCGUGCACUCAGAUGAACGUUCCUCAGAC
Molecule: non-coding RNA, 180 nt
Organism: Oryctolagus cuniculus (rabbit)
Lineage: Eukaryota; Metazoa; Chordata; Mammalia; Lagomorpha; Leporidae
Source: RefSeq, a predicted model, not a curated record